AACGCGAAGAACCUUACCAGCUUUUGACAUGUCCGGUAUGGUUCCCAGAAAUGGGAUCCUUCAGUUCGGCUGGCCGGAACACAGGUGCUGCAUGGCUGUCGUCAGCUCGUGUCGUGAGAUGUUGGGUUAAGUCCCGCAACGAGCGCAACCCUCGCCCUUAGUUGCCAUCAAUCAGUUGGGCACUCUAGGGGGACUGCCGGUGAUAAGCCGCGAGGAAGGUGGGGAUGACGUCAAGUCCUCAUGGCCCUUACAGGCUGGGCUACACACGUGCUACAAUGGCGGUGACAGUGGGAUGCAAUGGAGUAAUCCUGCGCAAAUCUCAAAAAGCCGUCUCAGUUCGGAUUGUGCUCUGCAACUCGAGCACAUGAAGUUGGAAUCGCUAGUAAUCGUGGAUCAGCACGCCACGGUGAAUACGUUCCCGGGCCUUGUACACACGACGCGUA
Molecule: ribosomal RNA, 443 nt
Filed under: uncultured bacterium
Lineage: Bacteria
Description: bacterial SSU rRNA
Rfam family: Bacterial small subunit ribosomal RNA
Source: RNAcentral